This 496-nucleotide ribosomal RNA is filed under the name uncultured bacterium. RNAcentral describes it as "partial 16S ribosomal RNA". It matches the Rfam family "Bacterial small subunit ribosomal RNA", at positions 28 to 506 of the family's 1533-position model. The record is from RNAcentral.
GAUGAACGCUGGCGGCGUGCCUAAUACAUGCAAGUCGAGCGAACGGACGAGAAGCUUGCUUCUCUGAUGUUAGCGGCGGACGGGUGAGUAACACGUGGAUAACCUACCUAUAAGACUGGGAUAACUUCGGGAAACCGGAACUAAUACCGGAUAAUAUUUUGAACCGCAUGGUUCAAAAGUGAAAGACGGUCUUGCUGUCACUUAUAGAUGGAUCCGCGCUGCAUUAGCUAGUUGGUAAGGUAACGGCUUACCAAGGCAACGAUGCAUAGCCGACCUGAGAGGGUGAUCGGCCACACUGGAACUGAGACACGGUCCAGACUCCUACGGGAGGCAGCAGUAGGGAAUCUUCCGCAAUGGGCGGAAGCCUGACGGAGCAACGCCGCGUGAGUGAUGAAGGUCUUCGGAUCGUAAAACUCUGUUAUUAGGGAAGAACAUAUGUGUAAGUAACUGUGCACAUCUUGACGGUACCUAAUCAGAAAGCCACGGCUAACUACGU